This is a long non-coding RNA of Acinonyx jubatus (cheetah), 6418 nucleotides long. RefSeq lists it as uncharacterized. Lineage: Eukaryota; Metazoa; Chordata; Mammalia; Carnivora; Felidae. The record is from RefSeq and is a predicted model, not a curated record. The transcript is spliced from 4 exons.
GCUAAGCCUCACAUUCGCACACUGAGGCCCAGAAGCCUCAGGCCACACUCUUCCACUGCUGUCUAGGAUAUGAAGGGGGGUGUGUGUAGAGGUGUGCGUAGAUCAGUCUUGAUCCUUGCAGUCCUGGAGCCUGGAGCCUGGUGGCAGAGAGAAAACGUGACUCUCUGUUUCAGUCACUCUGUGAUUGGUGCUCUGAAGGAAAGCAGUCGAACAGGAGCUUGUUGAGGUGACCGGGAUGGCCCGGAGGAUGAGAAGAAGCCAGCCGUGUGCACGGUGGUGGGGAGACUGAGCUGGGCAGCGUUCCUGGGGCAGGAGCCCAAUGGCCAGAGCGGCUGAUGCGCAGUGAGGGGGGAGGGACGGCGCAAUGAUCAGGGAGGGAGAGGCCCACCUGCAGCGCCACCCCCCUGGCCCUCUGGCUCGCCCAGUGCCUUCUCUGUUGGCACGGCUCUGCCACCCCCGAGAUUUAUCGGGUAUCCUUCUCCAGCUUGAGAGCACAAGAUCUGGGUCCGAGUCAUUUCCAGGUCCCCAACCUGGAACACGGGGUCCGGCCUUGAAUCAGACCACAACUGACCAAUGAACAGAGUUGGGCUGCGUGGAGACACCUGCUUUCAGGAGACUGGUGGAGAAACGUCCCUGCCACGAGCAUCCAGCCUUCGAGGUGUGCGGGGAAGUGUGUAAUUGACGGGCAGCCCGACCGAGGCCCUCCUGCGGGACCAAAUUGUAAUCGGCUGCGGCGCUUGGUCACAACAGGGAUUCCUUUUACAUCCUAGUGCGGCCGCGAACCUGGCAAGCUGGUCCCCGCGGUUAUUAAGAAGCCUCCUGACUUCAGCAGGUCGCCUUGGGUCAGUACAGCGGCAUACAUUCUGGCUGCUGGGCUCGGAGUUGGCGAAGACAACCUUGUAGACACAAAUCCCUUUACACUUGGACAUGGAGAAAAGAAUCAAGAUGGAUGGCCCCAGCCCCCCCAGCCUGCUGCACACCUGCCUGCCCCCGCUCCCACGGCCUCGCCUCCUCCCUCCUGGCUGGUUCCUUGGCAAGUUCAUUGCUGUGUUCACCAGAAAGCGAUCAGUGGAGUCUUGCUUCUGGAGAAGUUAAAUGCAGGCCGACAAUUCCUCAGGGGUUCACGGGAUGAAAGGCUGCAAAAGGGGGUUUGGAAGCGCUUCACAGAGGGACCCACGUCUACACAUACGUCAAGAGAACUGUUGUUUGGGGAAAACAAGUUGUAUUGGAGGCUUUGGGAAUUGCAGAGAGGUUUCGCAAGAACUCAGAGGAGCAAAUAAGAAAUAAAAGACACAGCCAACGUUUAUUGAGUGCGUGCUAUGCGGUGGGCUUCAUGUUGAGCCUUUUCAAGUCACUUUUUCAUUGUAUUCUCCGCACCUUAGCGGACUGUCUCCUGUCGUUAACCCGCAGAGGUCAGGUGAUCCUCCUGAGGUCGCCGAAUGAGUAGCAGAGCCAAGACUCAAACUCAGGCCUGCCAGGACCCGGAAGGCCAUGACUUUCAUCUGUGUGCAUGUCACAGGGGACGGGAGAGAGGAAAGGAGCACAGGCACACACAUCCAUGGGGCAGCAGCGAUAGCGACACAGGACGACAGAGCCAGGAGCUCUGGACUCCCAUCCAAACCCCGUCACCGGCAACCUGGGACCCUGCAAAUGCCUCUUUGCCGCUCUGGGCCUCAGUCUUCUCUCCGGUGAGAUGUCAGGUUCGAAGGAGAAGCCCCCUCGGGCCCAAGUUUGUAAUGCUCUCCUCUUCCUGGUCCACAGGUGAGAAGACUUCGGCUCCAGAACAGGGCCACUGGAUGUCGUGGCCAAUCUGGCCCAACCCGUCACAGGGACCUUGAAGCCCCUCUGCAACGUGCCCAGGGACUCCAGGCCCUGCUCGCAAGAUGGAAACGGACGAGGCCCAAGGCUGCUUGCGCAUACUUACCGAGUGAAAGUAAUAUCUUGAGCGUGACUUCCCUGAGUCUUCGCCACGGGCCCCCGGCUAGCAGCGGCCCAAGCUCCCCUUCGGUGCUGAAUUUCCCUCACCGGUGCCGCCAGUGAGCCUUCCAACGGCCAGACACGUGACUCUCUCUGUCCGGGGGGGGGGGGGGGGGGGGCGGGGGGAAUCCGGGAAGACUUGACUCCAUUUGAUGGAAAGCAACUUCCUUCUAGCAGUAGGAAGUUAGAGGAAGAGCAGAGCCGGGUAAGACAGACAGCAAGCAGUACGGGGGCCGGUAGGCCUGCUCAGCAUUGCUGAGCACUUACCGGCUGUGUGUGGCUCCAGACAAAACCCCUUAUGUCCACACAUCUUGGUUUUCUUCUCUGGGUAAAGAGAUGCAGACAUUCGGCCCGUUGAGAUCAAAGCGCCAGACGGGAAGGGGGUGUGUGUGCUCAGGGCUGCUUACUACUCCAUUAUCUCUGGAAGAAUAACCGAGAUAAUGAGGUGACGGGACGGCAGGAGGGGAGGGGGGGUGAGCCCAGCGCUGCCUCUGACCACAGCGUGGAAUGUGGCGCGGCCUCCCAAAAAGCCGCGUGUCAGUUCACCUGGAGGGGCUCCUGAGUCCACAGAGAAGCGUAUACAACAUGAUCCAAUGUUACAAAAGCAAGAGCAACGAGAAGGUAUACUACUAUACGAUGACGCGGGCACCGAGGGAGGUGUGCGGGGGAUGCACUUCAGAUUACGAGCAGGAGUUGCUCGGAGUCUGGGGAUGCAUUGCAAGGUGAGGUCAAGAGGAGGGUAAAAAGCAGAGAGGUGGGGAGGGGAGAUGAUAAGCAAAAGGGGAAAAAAGCGAGUUAGGGUACCCGCAGCAAAUGAGGACGUUGGCGGUGGCAUUGGCAUGCCAAUGUAUUGCGCAAAAAGUGGAUAAAAGAACGUUCAGUGAAAUGUGACUCCCCUAGAAAGAACGCCGAUUAAUUCCUGUCUCAGAGGGUGCUUCUGAGGCUCAGGUGACGUCAUCGCGUGCCAGGAUAAGAGAACCAUCAGAAGUCGCAUCUCAAGAGGAGCUCCGAGACUCGAAUUCUGUUCCGCCAGCACCCGGGCCGGCGUUCUGCCUUUUUGCAGCCACCUCACUACGUCACCACGAACCAGCCGUAGUCCAGAGACUGACUUGUUGAACACGGAACGUUGAUUAUGGCUCAUUCUCUCAGACUAAGAGCAGGAAUCAAAACAGAUGACAGUCCCCUCACUUUGGGUGGGAGAGGUUCACCCAGUCAAGCACGAGUGCUGUAAUCAUGAUGUCAAAGCAGCAAUCACGUUUCAGUUUAAAAAUAACGGGAAAUGCCCACUUGAACUAAGUAUGUGAGGCGCGCGAGGCUAGCGGGUGGUACCAGUGGAUGAUAUUUGACAUUAACCCAUGGCCGGACACGUGAACCCGUGUUCAUGAGAGCCAGGAGACAGCUGGCUCCAUGCAGGGGGAUCACACCACGCGAAGCGUUUUGCAUGCAUUAUCUCAACUAAUACUGCCAGGAGCUCCACUUAAGUUCCUUACUUAGCAGAUCCGGAAACCGGGGGUCAGUGAGGUGAGGCGACUUGCUCAAGGUUCCAUGGCUGGGGUACGGGCAGGACCAGGAUUAAAAUCCGGGGCAGCUCGACUCCGGGACCCACACUUUUAAUCCUACACUACCAUAGUACGGCUCCGGGCUGGGAGAUUUUUCAGGCUUUAUUCAUCUCGUGUGCUGUGUGUGUCCGCAGUGAUCGAACACAGCUUUCCAAGCCACGAGUGGUGGCUUAAUUACGGUGCACUCUUCAUAUUGUUGAAAUGUGACAUCCCUCAGCGUAUUCAUCUGCAAUGGGAGAUGACUCACAGGUGUAAUUUGUGUGUCCUUUGGUGUGUUAUUAACGUGUGCUCUCAACGGAGGUUUAAUUUUGGAAGUGGCUUUCGAGAUCAUGGUGGAGGCUUGACAGAUAAGUAGAACACCCCCCCUCGAAAUGAGAAGCGCCCUGCUGUUCUCGCAAAGGUCACGGGUGACCCCCGAGACCCCAACCCGGUGGCCUGGUCUCAACCUGCUCCCUCCUCUGCUUUGCUGCACGUGGGACACUGUUUCUGUCCCCUCCCCGUUGCUAUCGCUUCUUCUCCCACCGUGGGUCCGUGGUGGACAGCCGCUUGACGAGUUGAAAAUAGGGACUAAUACACCUUCUGAAGUUUUUUUCUUCAGGCUGAGCUUCUGUAAUUCCUUGUGUCAUUGGGAUGCUGUCUGAGGAUAUUCAAAGUUGUCAGCUGCCCUCGUAAAUCUUGGGGCUGAGAACUGAACACGAGACUCAGGCAAGAUGUGACUAGGAAAGCCCUGGAGAUCAGACUUUAACCUUCUCUGUCCCACACACUCUACUUCUGUUAAUGCAACCCCAAAGAGCUUCUUGCCAGUAAGAGUGCUGAUGCUGGCUGAGCGGCUGCCGAACAAAACUUCUCUCUUUUCUCCGGCUGCUCCCUGGACAGGGCUCUGUCACUCUACACUUACACAAUAGAGGUACCUUAGCGCCACUGCAGAAGCUUCCUCUCCGCAUUAUGGUUUUUGUGCCUUGUGAGCUUUGUUGCAUCCCCAUGGCCCACUGAGAGCUUUUGGAUUAGAAUUCUCCCAUCCACCUCAUUUGUCAUCCUCCACCCCCCCCCCCCCACCACCCGGUUCAGUGGCAUCCACAGACUUGAUAAGAAGCUUUCUAUGCCUUCAUUCAAGUAUUCACAAAAUUUGUUUUAACAGGAGAGAGCCAAGGACAAAGCCUUAUCUCGGGCCCCUGGAGAGCUCCUUAAGUGACAAGCUGAACAGGAAUGAAUUAAUCAGCAAGCUCUGGGCAUGGUUCUUGAAGUGGUUACAAGUCCACCUUCCUCACUGUAUUAUUACCCUAGCUAGAGUUUUUCACGUUGCCCAAGAGGAUAGCAUAAAAACUUUAUUAUAUGGUGUGCCCAAUUGCACUGUCCUGAUCUACCUAAUGAUUGCAAACACUCCCCCAAAAAAGGAAAGAAGGAAGGCGGGAAGGCAGGGAAGGAGGGAUGGAGGGAGGGAGAGAGGAAAAAGAAAUCAGAUUGCUUUGCUAGGAUUCAUUUUAAAAGGGACAUGCUGUUUGUUAGGAAUCAACUUGAACUCCUAGACCGCCUUUCCUGACAACCAUCCCUUUCGUUGCUACAUUGUUUAGGAACAGCCUUGGCCUUGGGCCUUUAAGCCUUUCCUUCAUGUUAGUUUUGAAAAUGGUUGCUCAUUUUCAUUCAUGCCUCCAAUGUUUUCAGAGCCCUGCUCUCUGUCUGGCACCGGGCUAGCAUUCAGGGCCCAAAGUGUGGGAAACCCACCGACCUGCAUCAAGGCCCUCGGUGCCUUCACUUCGCCCAGAUUUGACAACUCCUUCAAUAUCUCCGGCCACGGAUGGGUGACCCCAUGUUCAAGUACUCUUUUUGCCCAAUGCCCAGAAGUCCGGAAGUAAUUGAGAACUGUCAGGUGGGCUCUUCCUCUCUCCCCCGAACCCUGAGGUUUCCCCUUCAGGCCAAAGCACAUGGUCUCUUAGCUGGAAAGACAAAGGUCUGUUCCCAUCACCACAGCUGUGUUAUCUUACUGGGUCUGGGGAACUUAAUUUCUUCCUCAUCCUUCGAGCUUGGGGUAUGACUUUGAAAGUUCGUUUCCCCCCGAUCUCAAUCUGCUCUGGGCUGCGGCCCUUCAGACCCUAGAGCAUCACGACUACUUGACUUCCAGCAACUGAGAACCAAAGGCAAACCAGCUUCACACAACAAGGAAUGUAUCAGCUCAAGCAGUUGAACGGUCUGAGGACAGGCGAGGCUUCGGGAAUUGUCGCGAUCAGGGGUUCAAGCAACAUCAUUAGCACCUCGUCAGUGUCUCUGUCUCUCUCACGGUGCCCGUGGCUUUGUUCUCAGAGGGCAUCUUUGGCCUCUGAGAAGCUCGACUUUCUCAUCACUGCUGCAGAAUACAAAAAGAGAAGUAUCCUUCUGGAGCAUGUAAUUAAAGGCCUGGGGUGAGCAGCGAUUGGAGCCUGGGCUGUGUUCACACGCCCACCCUGACCAAUCACCAUCGCACGAUAGUGCUGUGCUCAGACUGACCAGGAAAAGCCCUACGUUAGAGCUCGAGUUAGAGGCAGCUCCGCCUGACCCAGAAACUGAGCGCGGGCAGGUGUCCAGAGGAACGUGUGGGAAUGUGGGUAAGGGGCUCCGUACCAUUGGAAGAAAGGGAGACAAAUGCUGAAAUGUUAAAAAAAAAAAAAAUGCCUGGAAGAGUUCCUCAAUUGCUCGCAAGGUACUCGGCACAAAGAACCUGCUCGAUAAACCUUGGUUGAAUGACUUGAAAAACCCUGGCCUCACUUGUGUUCUUGCAUGUCCGUCUUUCUCUGAGGUCCUCACCAGUGGGAGGUUGAUGCUUGUGGUUGUCUACGUAGGAACUCUUCUCCCUUGGGGCACCUGGGUGGCUCAGUCGGUUAAGCGUCCGACUUCGGCUCACAUCAGCA